RNAcentral lists this ribosomal RNA (217 nucleotides) under uncultured bacterium. RNAcentral's name for it is "partial 16S ribosomal RNA". It matches the Rfam family "Bacterial small subunit ribosomal RNA", at positions 404 to 615 of the family's 1533-position model. The record is from RNAcentral.
CAGGAUGAAGGCCUUCGGGUUGUAAACUGCUUUGUACGGAACGAAAAGACUCCUUCUAAUAAAGGGGGGUCAUGACGGUACCGUAAGAAUAAGCACCGGCUAACUACGUGCCAGCAGCCGCGGUAAUACGUAGGGUGCAAGCGUUAAUCGGAAUUACUGGGCGUAAAGCGUGCGCAGGCGUUAUAUAAGACAGAUGUGAAAUCCCCGGCUCAAUUCU